GACGAACGCUGGCGGCGUGCUUAACACAUGCAAGUCGAACGGAAAGGCCCUGCUUUUGUUGGGUGCUCGAGUGGCGAACGGGUGAGUAACACGUGAGUAACCUGCCCUUGACUUUGGGAUAACUUCAGGAAACUGGGGCUAAUACCGGAUAUGAUCUCCUGCUGCAUGGUGGGGGUUGGAAAGUUUCGGCGGUUGGGGAUGGACUCGCGGCUUAUCAGCUUGUUGGUGUGGUAGUGGCUGACCAAGGCUUUGACGGGUAGCCGGCCUGGGAGGGUGAACGGCCACAUGAGGACUGAGAUACGGCGCAGACUCCUACGGGAGGCAGCAGUGGAGAAUAUUGCACAAUGGCCGGAAGCCUGAUGCAGCAACGCCGCGUGCGGGAUGACGGCCUUCGGGUUGUAAACAGCUUUCGACUGUGACGAAGAGUGAGUGACGGUAAUGGGUCAAGAAGCACCGGCUAACUACGUG
RNAcentral lists this ribosomal RNA (468 nucleotides) under uncultured bacterium. RNAcentral's name for it is "partial 16S ribosomal RNA". It matches the Rfam family "Bacterial small subunit ribosomal RNA", at positions 28 to 507 of the family's 1533-position model. The record is from RNAcentral.